Molecule: unclassified non-coding RNA, 477 nt
Filed under: Hevea brasiliensis (rubber tree)
Lineage: Eukaryota; Viridiplantae; Streptophyta; Magnoliopsida; Malpighiales; Euphorbiaceae
Source: RNAcentral
CAAUCAUUUCCCGUGCUCUUCUUCUCCUCCCCCCAAUCUCUCUCUACUCCUCUGAUUAUGGAUUAGACUUGUUCCCUUUUUUUUUUUUAAUUUUAUUUUUUGAUAACCUUAAAAGGCCUCCAAUUUACCCAAACUUCACUCUUACUAGCCUAAAUUUCUCGAACCUUCCACUCGCCGGCUGGGAUCCCGAGCUGGCUGAUCUGCGGCCCUGAUUGGGUCAAAUUUCAACAGGUUUCACGUGGAGGCUGGAGCACCUGAUAAUCCCUCUGCUACGAGGCAGUUUUUCUGCUCGAGCUCUGAAAUGAAGGCUUGGAGAUGAUUUGGUGUACUUAUGCUAUGAUUAUGUGUUAGAUGGAAGGUUCUUUAAGCAGGAUAAAUUGCAUCAUGACUUUGGACUUAAUUUCAGGAUUUCAGGUAUGAAACAAUCAGCAGCACGUAGCAUUUUUUCAAGUUUGUGGUCAGUUGCAGUAAUGGCAC